RNAcentral lists this ribosomal RNA (440 nucleotides) under uncultured bacterium. RNAcentral's name for it is "partial 16S ribosomal RNA". It matches the Rfam family "Bacterial small subunit ribosomal RNA", at positions 338 to 795 of the family's 1533-position model. The record is from RNAcentral.
CCUACGGGAGGCAGCAGUGGGGAAUAUUGCACAAUGGGGGAAACCCUGAUGCAGCGACGCCGCGUGAGUGAAGAAGUAUUUCGGUACGUAAAGCUCUAUCAGCAGGGAAGAAAAUGACGGUACCUGACUAAGAAGCCCCGGCUAACUACGUGCCAGCAGCCGCGGUAAUACGUAGGGGGCAAGCGUUAUCCGGAUUUACUGGGUGUAAAGGGAGCGUAGACGGCAGCGCAAGUCUGGAGUGAAAUCCCAUGGCUUAACCAUGGAACUGCUUUGGAAACUGUGCAGCUAGAGUGCAGGAGAGGUAAGCGGAAUUACUAGUGUAGCGGUGAAAUGCGUAGAUAUUAGGAGGAACACCAGUGGCGAAGGCGGCUUACUGGACUGUAACUGACGUUGAGGCUCGAAAGCGUGGGGAGCAAACAGGAUUAGAUACCCGAGUAGUC